Molecule: long non-coding RNA, 911 nt
Organism: Vicia villosa (hairy vetch)
Lineage: Eukaryota; Viridiplantae; Streptophyta; Magnoliopsida; Fabales; Fabaceae
Exons: 3
Source: RefSeq, a predicted model, not a curated record
UUAGCGCCAUUCUGAAUUUUCACAGUUCCCUCCCAACUAUCAAAAUAGCUCUCUUCUGUGUAAUUCUUCUCAUAUACCUAACCCUAAAAAUAAAAAUUCAACAAAUUCUGUGAAAUGGAACGAAGGUCAUUUGAGUUUGUGGUGACAAACCCUAAAUUUCUCCGUCUUGUGUUGUAUCGACUCCUUUUCUCCCAUAGAAAAUGGUAAAUGCAUCUCCAUUUAUCCUCCUCAAUCACGCCACUUGUAUUCUCCAUCUCGCUUGUUCGCGUUCGUUUGCAACCUUCCCCUCCAUUACAUCAUACUAUCCUCUCUUCGAGCGAUGCAACUCUCCUUCUCAACUGUGAUAGGUUUUCUGCUCCAUUGUGAUUUCUUCUGAUUAGCGGUUUAGAAAUUGGGGUUUCUGAUUUGGGAUUUUUGAUAUUCGGUGGCUUAGUUGAGAUUGAUGGUAGAGAAAAUUUCCUCAAUAACUUGUAGAGUUUUAGAGCUAAAAUGCGUUGUUGGUUGAAUUGUAGAGGUGUUGCUGAUUGAUUUGGUUGUGUUAUGCAUCCUCAUUUGACAUUGAACGAACACCCUGUGUGCACUAGACUUUCUUUUUGUUGGCUCAACAGAAUGAAGAUCUAUGCCUUUUGUGUCAAGGAAUACAUUGAUCCUCAUCUACGUGGAGAUUAUAAGGAGGGUGAACUAGAAUUUAGAUAUAUACUUUAUGUUCUCGCCUAUACUCCAUUAGGGAAGGAUGACGUAAUCAAUUUCAAGACCAAGAAUAUAAGAAAUUAGGUGAAGAGAUUCUUCUUUUGAGACGACUUUCAUGGAAAACUGGUAUAGGAACUUUGUUGUACAAUCAUCUUGGCUUGUUGAGUAAUUAGAUAUUUUUUCAUUAUCUUAUCAUGUUAUGUUGUAUUCAUUAUUUUACA